UCUUAUGCCCAUAUUUCCCUGAACAUGUCCCACUUUGUCUAAUCUCUGAAGCUAAGCAGAGUCAGGCCUGGUUAGUACUAGGAUGGGAAAAAGAGUGAGACAGAGAGAUAGGGA
Molecule: ribosomal RNA, 114 nt
Filed under: Erinaceus europaeus (western European hedgehog)
Lineage: Eukaryota; Metazoa; Chordata; Mammalia; Eulipotyphla; Erinaceidae
Source: RNAcentral